This is a long non-coding RNA of Trichechus manatus latirostris (Florida manatee), 170 nucleotides long. RefSeq lists it as uncharacterized. The record is from RefSeq and is a predicted model, not a curated record. The transcript is spliced from 3 exons. Lineage: Eukaryota; Metazoa; Chordata; Mammalia; Sirenia; Trichechidae.
AUGGCUACUUUGGGAAUUUUGGUGAAAAUGUCAUUCUCUCCAGGACCCACCAAAGGACUCCAGGAAGAUUCUGACUGCUGUUCUUGUCCAGAGAAGUGGAUUGGGUACCGAUGCAGCUGUUAUUUCAUUUCUAAUGAAGCAAAAACCUGGGCAGAAAGUAGGAAUUCCUG